RNAcentral lists this ribosomal RNA (492 nucleotides) under uncultured bacterium. RNAcentral describes it as "partial 16S ribosomal RNA". It matches the Rfam family "Bacterial small subunit ribosomal RNA", at positions 29 to 507 of the family's 1533-position model. The record is from RNAcentral.
AGUGAACGCUGGCGGUAGGCCUAACACAUGCAAGUCGAACGGCAGCACAGUAAGAGCUUGCUCUUACGGGUGGCGAGUGGCGGACGGGCGAGGAAUACAUCGGAAUCUACUUUUUCGUGGGGGAUAACGUAGGGAAACUUACGCUAAUACCGCAUACGACCUACGGGUGAAAGCAGGGGGUCUUCGGACCUUGCGCGAUUGAAUGAGCCGAUGUCGGAUUAGCUAGUUGGCGGGGUAAAGGCCCACCAAGGCGACGAUCCGUAGCUGGUCUGAGAGGAUGAUCAGCCACACUGGAACUGAGACACGGUCCAGACUCCUACGGGAGGCAGCAGUGGGGAAUAUUGGACAAUGGGCGCAAGCCUGAUCCAGCCAUACCGCGUGGGUGAAGAAGGCCUUCGGGUUGUAAAGCCCUUUUGUUGGGAAAGAAAAGCAGCAGGUUAAUACCCCGCUGUUCUGACAGUACCCAAAGAAUAAGCACCGGCUAACUUCGUG